Molecule: long non-coding RNA, 537 nt
Organism: Mustela putorius furo (domestic ferret)
Lineage: Eukaryota; Metazoa; Chordata; Mammalia; Carnivora; Mustelidae
Source: Ensembl
CAGGGGUCCAGCAGGCUCCCCUUUCACCAGGACAGGCAGAAACCGAUCUGUGGAGGAGCCCAGUCAGCGGGAGAGCCCUGCGGUCGUUCUUCCCUGAUGGCAGGACCUCACGGGCCACUGUGCACGGGGGAAAAGACAGAGAUGUAUUGGGGAUUCCUGGCUGUGGACUGACCCUGGUUCCAGGAGAUCCCAGACCUCACUGCAGCCACCCACCAGAGAAAGGCUCAUGCAGGAUUUGUCACCAAGUUCCAGUCUGCCCCUGGUUAAGUCCGGUCACUGCAGAACAUUUGGUGCUCUUCCUGCGCUAUUACUGAGAAAGAUUCUAAGGCUGUGACCUCACUUGGACUCCACGUUCCCUGCUUACGCCCGCCCCCACCAUCUUCGCGUGGGGUGUGACCUCGUAUUCUCGGUCCCGUCUCUGUGACAGUGACUCACCCUGUCCUGAACUCCUCCUGUGCUGGUUCAGGACUGAGACCGGGUCAUGUUCUCAAGCACCAUCUCCUCGCCUUGAAAGGAAUAAACUAGUUCUAAACUGAA